This 85-nucleotide transfer RNA is filed under the name Felis catus (domestic cat). It matches the Rfam family "tRNA". From Rfam's summary of the family: Transfer RNA (tRNA) molecules are approximately 80 nucleotides in length. Their secondary structure includes four short double-helical elements and three loops (D, anti-codon, and T loops). The record is from Rfam by way of RNAcentral. Lineage: Eukaryota; Metazoa; Chordata; Mammalia; Carnivora; Felidae. RNAcentral also lists the same sequence under 4 other names.
GCCUAUGUGGCUCAGUCGGUUAAGUGUCUGACUUCGGCUCAGGUCAUGAUCUCACGGUUCAUGAGUUUGAACCCCAUUUUGGGCU